GGCCCUUGUAUAAACUUUUCAAAUCAACGUUCCUUCGACUUUUAUCUUUUCGUGCACUCCAUUUCUCGGAAGAACAUUGCUGCAAGGCUGCAAUUGAAGAAAUAUAUAUAUUUCACCCGACAAAACACAGUUUUUUCAAAAGAAAAGAAAAGAAAAGAAAAUUCCCAAAGCUUCCCUUGUUGACUUCUUCCACUCUCUUCCGAUAUAUUCCUUGAAACCCUAAUUAGAGAGCGAUGGAUAUUUCAACUCCUACAUUCCCCGUACACCACUCCACUCUAUCUCUCGAUAUUGAGGGGCAUAAAACAGAGAUAAUCAUUAGCAGUUAUGAGGAUCAUUUCCUUGUUAUUGUGACCCAAAUUGGAAGCAUGGGGACGAUAUUGCAUGCCAGGAAAGAGGAAGGGGUGUCAAUUAAUCCAACUUUCAAUGUUUCUGUAACAUUUGGUAAACGUGAUGAGCCAAUGCUAGUUGCAUGUGCUCGACAGUUGAUCGAAUUCAUAAGUGCCUCUGGAUAUUCUAAAGGAUUAGUACUCUCCCUUGGCCUCAAGGACCACUCCGUGAAACAUUUUUCCGCUUCAAAUCCCUUUACAUCAGAGCAAAAUAUAGUUUCCUAAUAUUGGAGUUGGAGAAUGAGGGCCAUGUAACGAUUUAACUGAUAUUUGUACCAUCUCCCCCACGGAGGACUGAUUGUGCAAGUAUAAUGAAAGGGAACGCUGAAACACAUCGUUUCUGCUGUAAUUGAGAAAUUGCCUGUGGUAACUUAGUAUUAUGAUCUCAACAAUUUGCGUUUGGUGGCUUGUUUGCCCUGCAAGGAGUAAAAUUGCGAAAAAUAGUUAGAACUUUGUUUCUUUUCUUGUAGCUCGUCAGUUUCAGUGGCUUGGCAUUGAAUAUGCAUUCGUCUUGACGUGACAUUGAAAAGUUUUGGCCCUUCUAUAACAUGAUAUAACUGUCUGUAAGAUGAAACGGAACAUAUCAAUAACAUAUAGAUUGGUAUUUCAGCCAUCCA
Olea europaea var. sylvestris is the source of this 1003-nucleotide RNA transcript. RefSeq lists it as uncharacterized. The transcript has 8 exons. The record is from RefSeq and is a predicted model, not a curated record. Lineage: Eukaryota; Viridiplantae; Streptophyta; Magnoliopsida; Lamiales; Oleaceae.